Molecule: non-coding RNA, 74 nt
Organism: Nemania sp. FL0031
Lineage: Eukaryota; Fungi; Ascomycota; Sordariomycetes; Xylariales; Xylariaceae
Source: the annotation of a GenBank genome assembly
GGUGCGUUAGGGAAGUGGUUUAUCCCGCUUCAUUCGGGUUGGAGAUGUCAUCGGUUCGAAUCCGAUACGCACCC